CCAUGAUAGACGGGGAAUUAGCGAUGCCUUGUAACCUGCGAUCGCUAUAGCAGGGUUGAUGCCCACCCGAGGGAUGUGGCUAUGUGGUCUGCCUCAAAAAAGUGGCGUUGAGGAUAGGGUCCUAUGCAACGUAACCUUGUGAACCGUGUCAGAUCUUGACGGAAGCAGCACUAAGCAAGUCCUUGCGUGUGUUGUAGGGAAGCCUUAUCUGAGUUAACUCUUUGGGUAACGCAUGGAGUCAUUUUUCGAAGGUGGGUUCAUGG
This 263-nucleotide signal recognition particle RNA is filed under the name Peptoniphilus equinus. RNAcentral's name for it is "Peptoniphilus sp. CBA3646 signal recognition particle sRNA large type". It matches the Rfam family "Bacterial large signal recognition particle RNA". From Rfam's summary of the family: The signal recognition particle (SRP) is a universally conserved ribonucleoprotein involved in the co-translational targeting of proteins to membranes. Archaeal SRP consists of a 7S RNA and homologues of the eukaryotic SRP19 and SRP54 proteins. In most bacteria, the SRP consists of a 4.5S RNA and the Ffh protein (a homologue of the eukaryotic SRP54 protein). The record is from RNAcentral. Lineage: Bacteria; Bacillati; Bacillota; Tissierellia; Tissierellales; Peptoniphilaceae.